RNAcentral lists this long non-coding RNA (494 nucleotides) under Eucalyptus grandis. Its description in RNAcentral is "long non-coding RNA (EGRA_LNC004111)". The record is from RNAcentral. Lineage: Eukaryota; Viridiplantae; Streptophyta; Magnoliopsida; Myrtales; Myrtaceae.
GGAGGUUCCUCGCAAUGCUAGUUUGGGCGCGAGCGAUAAAUGUGGGAUGCAAAUAUUGGUCCCGGGAAAGAGAAAUGUGGUGGCCCAAAAUGAAAGAAUAAAUUUGGGAAAUUGAAAUUGAAUUAUGCAUGGUAUGGCAACAUGUAUGCAUGAGUGCAUGAUGAUGAGUGCAUGGAUGUAUGUGCACCUAUGGCAUGAUGGCAUAUGUGUGACAUGAUGAUGGUAAGUGCAUGGAUGUAUGUGCACCUAUGACAUGAUGGCAUAUGUGACAUGAUGAUGAUGAGUGCAUGGAUGUAUGUGCACCUAUGGCAUGAUGAUAUGUGUGACAUGAUGAUGGUAAGUGCAUGGAUGUAUGUGCACCUAUGGCAUGACGGCAUAUGUGUGACAUGAUGAUGAUGAGUGCAUGGAUGUAUGUGCACCUAUGGCAUGAUGGCAUAUGUGACAUGAUGAUGAUGAGUGCAUGGAUGUAUGUGCACCUAUGGCAUGAUGGUAUG